AUUGAACGCUGGCGGCAGGCCUAACACAUGCAAGUCGAGCGGAUGAAGGGAGCUUGCUCCUGGAUUCAGCGGCGGACGGGUGAGUAAUGCCUAGGAAUCUGCCUGGUAGUGGGGGAUAACGUCCGGAAACGGGCGCUAAUACCGCAUACGUCCUGAGGGAGAAAGUGGGGGGUCUUCGGACCUCACGCUAUCAGAUGAGCCUAGGUCGGAUUAGCUAGUUGGUGGGGUAAAGGCCUACCAAGGCGACGAUCCGUAACUGGUCUGAGAGGAUGAUCAGUCACACUGGAACUGAGACACGGUCCAGACUCCUACGGGAGGCAGCAGUGGGGAAUAUUGGACAAUGGGCGAAAGCCUGAUCCAGCCAUGCCGCGUGUGUGAAGAAGGUCUUCGGAUUGUAAAGCACUUUAAGUUGGGAGGAAGGGCAGUAAGUUAAUACCUUGCUGUUUGACGUUACCAACAGAAUAAGCACCGGCUAACUUCGUG
Molecule: ribosomal RNA, 483 nt
Filed under: uncultured bacterium
Lineage: Bacteria
Description: partial 16S ribosomal RNA
Rfam family: Bacterial small subunit ribosomal RNA
Source: RNAcentral